GCAACUGCAUUGUUGUGAAAAUUGUGAAUGUUUAAUUUAGUCUUUUUACAUGAUUAUAGGUUUCCUUGAAGUUUCUUGACUGGUGACAUUGUUAUCUAGAUAUGGUCACAUGAAGGCUGAAUUUGAGUUAUUAUAAAGAAGAUAUAUUGGCUCUGAUAGUGAUAAACGGCUAAUACUCAUUUUGUCUACACCUCUUCUUGCCAGAUCUAAAUAGACCUCGCUUUUAUUAUUGUUCCAAUUACAUUGGACAGCUGAUAGAUUUGAAUCUUGACGAGUAGGAAAGUUGGCCAUGGCAACGUGCUAUGCCUUAAUCUGUAUGUAAUCUCCUUAAUGUGUCAAUGGUGAACAUGGAAGAAAGUCUGUUAGCUAUGUCCAAAUAAGGUUCCUCGAAGAUCUGUUUUCAUCAAUCUGAGCUGUAUCCCUUUCAAUUUGAUUUGAACUAUCAAAUUUGGAUAUCAAUUCUCUUCAGCUCAUAGGGGCAGACAAGAUGUGCUUAUCCUUAAUCUUUGGAGAAGCGAAGAAAAAAAAUAUGAUGAUGGUAUUAAAGAAUGCACAAAAGCAUUGGAGCUAAACCUUAACUACAUAAGUGUUUUGCUAAGAAGAGCAGAGGUGUAUGAAAAGUUGUAACAAUUUGAAGAGACUAUAGCAGAUAUGACAAAGGUUUUGGAAGUUGACCCAUCAUAUGAUCAAGCUAGAAGACAGAUUGUUCGCUUGAAGCCAUUAGCAGAUGAAAAACGUCAAAAGAUGAAGGAAGAAAUGAUUGUUGACCAUUGGUGGUAUGAACUUCUUUGGGUAGUUGCUGUUAAAUGAUUCUUUUUUGCUCUUCACGUGUAAAUAUAGGAAUGCUUCAUUUUUGCAAAAGAAAAUGUGUUCUAGGGGAGAAGAGUGGAGGAGGAGGAGAGGAUCUGGAAUUUUUGCAAAAGUAAAAGGAGCUAGUGUGAGCUGAGGUGGCUAGUGCAUUCGGAAGAUUCUGGAGGAAGGGGAAGGUUAAUGUGAGCAGAUAAAGCUUUGCUUCAGGUGCUGCUAAAGAAUAGAUGCUUGUGGAAGUGGACAAACGAUUACUGAGAUUAGCAAAAGGAUGGUUUAAGGGAAAUGUAAGCUGAGGGAAAUUGGAAAUUGCAAUUCUGGUCAAUUUGGAAUGAGCGCUGACAAUUUCAAAGCUGUGAAAGAUCCAAACACUGGUUCAUAUUCUAUUCCAUUUCAGUGCUAAUAUCUUUUACAAACUUCACAUAUAUUCUUUAGUUUCUGGAGCUAUGGAUCAAAUGGACUGAAAUCUUAAAGAGGAUGAAGCACGUUUCCUCACAGUGUUGAUCUCAGUCGUAUGAUUAUGUUUUUACAUAUAACUUGAGAAAAAGAAAUUGAUGUGGUUUUUUGCCAUAAUAUGUUAUAAACAGACUUAAAGUUUCACUUUACUGGAAGUUUCUUAUAGUUGCUUUAGUACUUUCCAUUUCUUCGUGGUGUUGUCCAUGGUUUUGAUACUGUUUUGGAGGGCAUCUGAAGGUGCAGCAUAAUUUAUGCUAUCAACGUCUUUGUCAUGAUCUGUUCGGAGAGUAGCAUAGAAAUGUAGAACCUUGCACGCAAACAGGGAGAGAGUCCACCUCCUCUUCCCACCCAUCCCAAAAAAGGGUAAAUUCUGACUAGAUAUCAUAUCAUAGCCACACUAAAAGUGUGUAAGCUCGGAUGAACACUGAAAUGGUCUGGUUACUCCGUAAUUUUCAUGAACUCUGGGGGUGUUUGUUGGUUGCAUGAUUUUUGGGCGGCUUGGGGAUAUGUGGGCGCAGACAGCCUCAUUGAAUCGGGUGCACACUCCUUCCUUUGCCUUCUCUCUCUCUUCCUUGCUCUUAAUUUCAAUCCUUGCUCUCUUCUAAUUACCACUUUCUUUCCUGCUCUUCUAAUUACCGGACCAAUUUCUCCCCUUCGCUUGCUUACACCUUGCAGCACAACUCAGGAAUCAAGUUAAUUCUUGAAAAAUUGAAACUUGCGGAAGAAAGGCAAAUGGAAGGAAGGGACUCACUUUGGUAUCUCUGAACAGCUAUUCCACUUUGGAUUGGGCAAGGAUGAAUGGACAGUUGAUAAAAGCCAUUUCUCCACGAGUUAUGGAAACAUAUUGAUAUGCAGCAUUACGGUAUCUAGAGUUAAGGCUUCUGGGAUCCCUUCUGAUGAGAAAGUGAAGUUUGCAUAUGCAAUCAACAUAAGAAAGCUAGUCAAGCCACCACUACCAGCAGGAUACUGGGGAAUUCUGACCAAGGCUGAAGACCAUGUCGAUCAACCGAUAUAUAAAACAGCAGAAUUGAUCAACAAGAGCAAAUACAAUGUAUCUGAUGAAUAUGUUCGAUCAUUUAUCGAUUUUCAGGAGCUAAAUUAUCAUGAAGGGACCACAGUAGGAGCAAAGGUGAGUGGAAUUACUGAUUGGAGACACUUAGGCCAUUCCACAGUGGACUUUGGUUGGGGAGGUCCUGUUACAGUUUUUCCUCUGUCAAGAAACCUACUUGGAAGCGUUGAGCCCCGUUUCUUUUUGCCCUAUUCUUCAGCAAAUGAAGGGGAAAAGGAUGGUUGUAAACUUUCUGUGUGUUUGCAAGAACAUGCUGUUUCAGGUUUCAAAGAAGACAUGAAUAAGUUGAAGAAUUUAGAGCCUGGAUUCCUUUGAAUGAAGGGUUUCUUGUUA
This is a long non-coding RNA of Coffea eugenioides, 2665 nucleotides long. RefSeq lists it as uncharacterized. NCBI's taxonomy places the organism in Eukaryota, Viridiplantae, Streptophyta, Magnoliopsida, Gentianales, Rubiaceae. The transcript is spliced from 7 exons. The record is from RefSeq and is a predicted model, not a curated record.